RNAcentral lists this ribosomal RNA (806 nucleotides) under uncultured Planctomycetota bacterium. Its description in RNAcentral is "bacterial SSU rRNA". It matches the Rfam family "Bacterial small subunit ribosomal RNA", at positions 1 to 844 of the family's 1533-position model. Lineage: Bacteria; Pseudomonadati; Planctomycetota. The record is from RNAcentral.
UAGAGUUUGAUCAUGGCUCAGAUUGAACGCUGGCGGCAUGGCUAAAACAUGCAAGUCGAACGAUUAAAGCUUCUUCGGAAGUGCAUAAAGUGGCGUAAGGGCGAGGAAUAUAUUUCUAUGUACCCCUAAGUCAAGGAUAGCCCAGGGAAACUUGGUGUAAUACCUGAUGUGGUCUCCGGAUCAAAGAUUUAUCGCUUAGGGAGCAGGGAAUAUCCUAUCAGGUUGUUGGUGAGGUAACGGCUCACCAAGCCAAAGACGGGUAGCGGGUGUGAGAGCAUGACCCGCCGCAUCGGAACUGAGACACUGUCCGGACUCCUACGGGAGGCUGCAGUAACGAAUAUUCCGCAAUGAGCGAAAGCUUGACGGAGCAAUGCCGCGUGCAGGAUGAAUCUCUUCGGAGUGUAAACUGCUGUCAGAGACUAGGAACUCAAUGACCAAUCUCAAAGGAAGGGCCGGCUAACUUCGUGCCAGCAGCCGCGGUAAUACGAAGGGCCCGAGCGUUAUUCGGAAUCACUGGGCUUAAAGCGUACGUAGGCUGGUAUAUAGGCAUUUUGUGAAAUCCCUCGGCUCAACCGAGGAACUGCAGAGUGAACCAUAUACCUUGAGACAGACAGAGGUCGUCGGAACGAUUGGUGGAGUGGUGAAAUGCGUUGAUAUCAAUCGGAACGCCGAAGGAGAAGUCAGGCGACUGGGUCUGUUCUGACGCUGAGGUACGAAAGCGUGGGUAGCGAACGGGAUUAGAUACCCCGGUAGUCCACGCCGUAAACGAUGUGCACUAGGUCGAGGGCGUUCUGACGCGACUCUCG